CAGUAGCCGCCACGGGAAUACGGAGGGUGCAAGCGUUAAUCGGAAUUACUGGGCGUAAAGCGCACGCAGGCGGUCUGACAAGUCAGAUGUGAAAUCCCCGGGCUUAACCUGGGAACUGCAUUUGAAACUGUCAGGCUGGAGUCUUGUAGAGGGGGGUGGAAUUCCAGGUGUAGCGGUGAAAUGCGUAGAGAUCUGGAGGAAUACCGGUGGCGAAGGCGGCCCCCUGGACAAAGACUGACGCUCAGGUGCGAAAGCGUGGGGAGCAAACAGGAUUAGAUACCCGGGUAGUCCCUGUCUCUUA
This 301-nucleotide ribosomal RNA is filed under the name uncultured bacterium. Its description in RNAcentral is "partial 16S ribosomal RNA". It matches the Rfam family "Bacterial small subunit ribosomal RNA", at positions 509 to 806 of the family's 1533-position model. The record is from RNAcentral.